RNAcentral lists this ribosomal RNA (1419 nucleotides) under uncultured organism. RNAcentral describes it as "SSU rRNA". It matches the Rfam family "Bacterial small subunit ribosomal RNA". The record is from RNAcentral.
GCUUAACACAUGCAAGUCGAACGAGAGAAGAGAAGCUUGCUUUUCUGAUCUAGUGGCGGACGGGUGAGUAACACGUGAGCAAUCUGCCUUUCAGAGGGGGAUACCGAUUGGAAACGAUCGUUAAUACCGCAUAAUAUAAUUGAACCGCAUGAUUUGAUUAUCAAAGAUUUAUCGCUGAAAGAUGAGCUCGCGUCUGAUUAGCUAGUUGGUAAGGUAACGGCCUACCAAGGCGACGAUCAGUAGCCGGACUGAGAGGUUGAUCGGCCACAUUGGGACUGAGACACGGCCCAGACUCCUACGGGAGGCAGCAGUGGGGAAUAUUGCACAAUGGAGGAAACUCUGAUGCAGCGAUGCCGCGUGAGGGAAGAAGGUUUUAGGAUUGUAAACCUCUGUCUUCAGGGACGAAAAAAGACGGUACCUGAGGAGGAAGCUCCGGCUAACUACGUGCCAGCAGCCGCGGUAAUACGUAGGGAGCGAGCGUUGUCCGGAAUUACUGGGUGUAAAGGGAGCGUAGGCGGGAUCGCAAGUCAGAUGUGAAAACUAUGGGCUUAACCCAUAAACUGCAUUUGAAACUGUGGUUCUUGAGUGAAGUAGAGGUAAGCGGAAUUCCUAGUGUAGCGGUGAAAUGCGUAGAUAUUAGGAGGAACAUCAGUGGCGAAGGCGGCUUACUGGGCUUUAACUGACGCUGAGGCUCGAAAGCGUGGGGAGCAAACAGGAUUAGAUACCCUGGUAGUCCACGCCGUAAACGAUGAUUACUAGGUGUGGGGGGACCGACCCCUUCCGUGCCGCAGCAAACGCAAUAAGUAAUCCACCUGGGGAGUACGACCGCAAGGUUGAAACUCAAAGGAAUUGACGGGGGCCCGCACAAGCAGUGGAGUAUGUGGAUUAAUUCGAAGCAACGCGAAGAACCUUACCAGGUCUUGACAUCGUAUGCAUAGCUCAGAGAUGAGUGAAAUCUCUUCGGAGACAUAUAGACAGGUGGUGCAUGGUUGUCGUCAGCUCGUGUCGUGAGAUGUUGGGUUAAGUCCCGCAACGAGCGCAACCCUUACUGUUAGUUGCUACGCAAGAGCACUCUAGCAGGACUGCCGUUGACAAAACGGAGGAAGGUGGGGAUGACGUCAAAUCAUCAUGCCCCUUAUGACCUGGGCCUCACACGUACUACAAUGGCUGUCAACAGAGGGAUGCAAAGCCGCGAGGUGGAGCGAACCCCUAAAAGCAGUCUUAGUUCGGAUUGUAGGCUGCAACCCGCCUGCAUGAAGUCGGAAUUGCUAGUAAUCGCAGAUCAGCAUGCUGCGGUGAAUACGUUCCCGGGCCUUGUACACACCGCCCGUCACGCCAUGGGAGUCGGUAACACCCGAAGCCUGUAGUCUAACCGCAAGGAGGACGCAGUCGAAGGUGGGAUUGAUGACUGGGGUGAAA